Molecule: ribosomal RNA, 402 nt
Filed under: uncultured bacterium
Lineage: Bacteria
Description: partial 16S ribosomal RNA
Rfam family: Bacterial small subunit ribosomal RNA
Source: RNAcentral
AAUAUUUCACAAUGGGCGAAAGCCUGAUGCAGCGACGCCGCGUGGGGGAUGACGGCAUUCGGGUUGUAAACCCCUUUCAGUAGAGAAGAAGCGAGAGUGCCGGUACCUGGUGAAGAAGCGCCGGCCAAAUACGUGCCAGCAGCCGCGGUAAUACGUAGGGCGCAAGCGUUGUCCGGAAUUAUUGGGCGUAAAGAGCUUGUAGGUGGCUUGUCGCGUCUGCCGUGAAAACCCGAGGCUCAACCUCGGGCGUGCGGUGGGUACGGGCAGGCUAGAGUGUGGUAGGGGAGACUGGAACUCCUGGUGUAGCGGUGAAAUGCGCAGAUAUCAGGAAGAACACCGAUGGCGAAGGCAGGUCUCUGGGCCAUUACUGACACUGAGAAGCGAAAGCAUGGGUAGCGAACA